RNAcentral lists this long non-coding RNA (1169 nucleotides) under Phoenix dactylifera (date palm). Its description in RNAcentral is "long non-coding RNA (PDAC_LNC012099)". Lineage: Eukaryota; Viridiplantae; Streptophyta; Magnoliopsida; Arecales; Arecaceae. The record is from RNAcentral.
GUGGAGAGGACGGACGGAUGGGAUGAAUCCUCCGAGAAGAGGAUGGAUGCGGACGUGGCAUGCUGGGACGCUCGGGAGAGUUGAAAUCGCUGGGAAAUCCAAUAGAUGGAUCGGAAGGGAGGAGCGUGGACGCUGGGAUGAAGUCGGGACUUGCUGGAAAAUCGCUGGGAAGCGAGUUGCUCGGGAGAUUGUGAUCUGGGACUCGUGGAAGAAGCUGGAUGCGGGGUGAAUCGUGAUCACGAAAGCUGGGAUUUCGGGAUAGCUGGUGGCAGAGCCUUUGCUGGGAGUCGGAUGGACGCGGAUCGAAGGAUGGGGCGCGGAUGAUGCUUCGCAAGAUGCUGGAAAAGGCUGGAUUUGUGCUGUGGAUGCGGGAUCUUCACGGAUUGCACGCGGACGCUGGGAUGCGCACGCUGAGAUCACGGACGCAUGGAUGGGCUCGCGGAUGAGGCAGAAUCUGGGAGGGUGCACGCGGAUGCUGGGACGCGCUGUGAACUGGGACUCGGAUGACUGGAUCGAAGGAUGAGAUUUGGGUUGCACGGACACUGGAUGAGGGGUCACACGUUGGGCCGCUCUGAAGAAGCAGACGCGGAGGAUGCUUCGUGAUUCUUCCACGUGGGAGGAUGGGUUGCACGCGGCUCAGAUGCUUGGGCUCAUAGAAGACUGAAGCUGCGAUGAAGUGGACAGUUGAACUUGACCUCCUUCUAGUGUGCAACUAGGGUUGACACAAGCGGUUGGCUGAUCACCUGUAGUGAUGCAUAUUUUUGGACCUAAUGCGAAAUUUAACUUUGAUUUACGAUCACCUGCGCCCUACAAAAAUAUAAUAUUAAUGCAGCACUUUUAUCAUUUUUUUGUUAGCAAUAAUACUAAUUUAAGGGAUGUAUAGAUCGCACUUUUGUGCUCUCAUCACACCCCCCAACUAGCUUAUUGCUAGUCUCUAGCAAUUAACGAGCAAACACUAAAAUGAGAGUGCAAAAGGUGUGGUUUAACCUAUGACUUUUUAUUGAAGCUAAAGACAUAAAACUAGGAUAAGUACUCACUUUUGUAGAAAUCACGAUUGCACUUAGCAUGUGCAACAAGCCGUUAAACUCCUAGGUUAUCCUAGUGGACGAGUGUUGUCUCGUGAGGGUUUUCAGGGAUGUUACCCACAAACAUCAUGAAUUAUAUGACAC